RNAcentral lists this ribosomal RNA (253 nucleotides) under uncultured bacterium. RNAcentral's name for it is "partial 16S ribosomal RNA". It matches the Rfam family "Bacterial small subunit ribosomal RNA", at positions 524 to 776 of the family's 1533-position model. The record is from RNAcentral.
UACGUAGGGGGCAAGCGUUAUCCGGAUUUACUGGGUGUAAAGGGAGCGCAGGCGGCAUGUCAAGUCUGAUGUGAAACUCCGGGGCUCAACCCCGGAACUGCAUUGGAAACUGUCGUGCUUGAGUGUCGGAGAGGUAAGUGGAAUUCCUAGUGUAGCGGUGAAAUGCGUAGAUAUUAGGAGGAACACCAGUGGCGAAGGCGGCUUACUGGACGACAACUGACGCUGAGGCUCGAAAGCGUGGGGAGCAAACAGG